UGGGUACUUUGUAUUAUUCGUAUA
This 24-nucleotide non-coding RNA is filed under the name Arabidopsis thaliana (thale cress). Lineage: Eukaryota; Viridiplantae; Streptophyta; Magnoliopsida; Brassicales; Brassicaceae. The record is from RNAcentral.